This 515-nucleotide ribosomal RNA is filed under the name Fusarium oxysporum. RNAcentral's name for it is "eukaryotic LSU rRNA". The stretch from base 149 to 302 matches the Rfam family "5.8S ribosomal RNA". Lineage: Eukaryota; Fungi; Ascomycota; Sordariomycetes; Hypocreales; Nectriaceae. The record is from RNAcentral.
GGGCUCGGAACGUCACUCCAACCCCUGUGACAUACCACUUGUUGCCUCGGCGGAUCAGCCCGCUCCCGGUAAAACGGGACGGCCCGCCAGAGGACCCCUAAACUCUGUUUCUAUAUGUAACUUCUGAGUAAAACCAUAAAUAAAUCAAAACUUUCAACAACGGAUCUCUUGGUUCUGGCAUCGAUGAAGAACGCAGCAAAAUGCGAUAAGUAAUGUGAAUUGCAGAAUUCAGUGAAUCAUCGAAUCUUUGAACGCACAUUGCGCCCGCCAGUAUUCUGGCGGGCAUGCCUGUUCGAGCGUCAUUUCAACCCUCAAGCACAGCUUGGUGUUGGGACUCGCGUUAAUUCGCGUUCCUCAAAUUGAUUGGCGGUCACGUCGAGCUUCCAUAGCGUAGUAGUAAAACCCUCGUUACUGGUAAUCGUCGCGGCCACGCCGUUAAACCCCAACUUCUGAAUGUUGACCUCGGAUCAGGUAGGAAUACCCGCUGAACUUAAGCAUAUCAAUAAGGCGGAGGA